This 253-nucleotide ribosomal RNA is filed under the name uncultured bacterium. RNAcentral's name for it is "partial 16S ribosomal RNA". It matches the Rfam family "Bacterial small subunit ribosomal RNA", at positions 524 to 776 of the family's 1533-position model. The record is from RNAcentral.
UACGAAGGGGGCGAGCGUUGUUCGGAUUUACUGGGCGUAAAGCGCGCGCAGGCGGUUUCUUAAGUCUGAUGUGAAAGCCCACGGCUCAACCGUGGAGGGUCAUUGGAAACUGGGGAACUUGAGUGCAGAAGAGAAAAGCGGAAUUCCACGUGUAGCGGUGAAAUGCGUAGAGAUGUGGAGGAACACCAGUGGCGAAGGCGGCUUUUUGGUCUGUAACUGACGCUGAGGCGCGAAAGCGUGGGGAGCAAACAGG